This 208-nucleotide ribosomal RNA is filed under the name uncultured bacterium. Its description in RNAcentral is "partial 16S ribosomal RNA". It matches the Rfam family "Bacterial small subunit ribosomal RNA", at positions 568 to 774 of the family's 1533-position model. The record is from RNAcentral.
UGCGUAGGCGGUGCGUUAAGUCAGUGGUGAAAUCUCUCGGCUCAACCGAGAAACUGCCAUUGAUACUGGCGCACUUGAGUACGGACGAGGUAGGCGGAAUUUAUGGUGUAGCGGUGAAAUGCAUAGAUACCAUAAAGAACACCGAUAGCGAAGGCAGCAUACUAGACCGUAACUGACGCUCAGGCACGAAAGCGGUGGGGAGCGAACA